UACGAAGGGGGCUAGCGUUGCUCGGAAUCACUGGGCGUAAAGCGCACGUAGGCGGAUUGCUAAGUCAGGGGUGAAAUCCUGGAGCUCAACUCCAGAACUGCCUUUGAUACUGGCGAUCUUGAGUCCGGGAGAGGUGAGUGGAACUCCGAGUGUAGAGGUGAAAUUCGUAGAUAUUCGGAAGAACACCAGUGGCGAAGGCGGCUCACUGGCCCGGUACUGACGCUGAUGUGCGAAAGCGUGGGGAGCGAACAGG
This 253-nucleotide ribosomal RNA is filed under the name uncultured bacterium. Its description in RNAcentral is "partial 16S ribosomal RNA". It matches the Rfam family "Bacterial small subunit ribosomal RNA", at positions 524 to 776 of the family's 1533-position model. The record is from RNAcentral.